GUGGGGAAUUUUGGACAAUGGGCGCAAGCCUGAUCCAGCAAUGCCGCGUGCAGGAAGAAGGCCUUCGGGUUGUAAACUGCUUUUGUACGGAACGAAACGGUCCUGGUUAAUACCCGGGGCUAAUGACGGUACCGUAAGAAUAAGCACCGGCUAACUACGUGCCAGCAGCCGCGGUAAUACGUAGGGUGCAAGCGUUAAUCGGAAUUACUGGGCGUAAAGCGUGCGCAGGCGGUGCUGUAAGACAGGCGUGAAAUCCCCGGGCUUAACCUGGGAAUUGCGCUUGUGACUGCAGUGCUGGAGUGCGGCAGAGGGGGAUGGAAUUCCGCGUGUAGCAGUGAAAUGCGUAGAUAUAGGAAGGAACACCAGUGGCGAAGGCGACCACCUGGACUGAUACUGACACUGAGGUGCGAAAGCGUGGGGAGCAAACAGGAUUAGAUACCCGAGUAGUCC
RNAcentral lists this ribosomal RNA (450 nucleotides) under uncultured bacterium. RNAcentral's name for it is "partial 16S ribosomal RNA". It matches the Rfam family "Bacterial small subunit ribosomal RNA", at positions 354 to 796 of the family's 1533-position model. The record is from RNAcentral.